This 498-nucleotide ribosomal RNA is filed under the name uncultured bacterium. RNAcentral's name for it is "partial 16S ribosomal RNA". It matches the Rfam family "Bacterial small subunit ribosomal RNA", at positions 30 to 523 of the family's 1533-position model. The record is from RNAcentral.
AUUGAACGCUGGCGGCAUGCCUUACACAUGCAAGUCGAACGGUAACAGGUCUUCGGAUGCUGACGAGUGGCGAACGGGUGAGUAAUACAUCGGAACGUGCCUAGUAGUGGGGGAUAACUACUCGAAAGAGUGGCUAAUACCGCAUGAGAUCUACGGAUGAAAGCAGGGGAUCGCAAGACCUUGUGCUACUAGAGCGGCCGAUGGCAGAUUAGGUAGUUGGUGGGAUAAAAGCUUACCAAGCCGACGAUCUGUAGCUGGUCUGAGAGGACGAUCAGCCACACUGGGACUGAAACACGGCCCAGACUCCAACGGGAGGCAGCAGUGGGGAAUUUUGGACAAUGGGCGAAAGCCUGAUCCAGCAAUGCCGCGUGCAGGAUGAAGGCCUUCGGGUUGUAAACUGCUUUUGUACGGAACGAAAAGCCCUGGGUUAAUACCCUGGGGUCAUGACGGUACCGUAAGAAUAAGCACCGGCUAACUACGUGCCAGCCGCCGCAGUAA